GAAAGCCUUCGGCUUAACCGGAGUAGGGCAUUGGAAACGGGGAGACUUGAGUGAAGAAGAGGAGGGUGGAACUCAAUGUGUAGCGGUGAAAUGCGUAGAUAUAGGGAAGAACACCAGUGGCGAAAGCGGCUCUCUGGUCUGUAACUGACGCUGAGGUUCGAAAGCGUGGGUAGCAAACAG
RNAcentral lists this ribosomal RNA (180 nucleotides) under uncultured bacterium. RNAcentral's name for it is "partial 16S ribosomal RNA". It matches the Rfam family "Bacterial small subunit ribosomal RNA", at positions 596 to 775 of the family's 1533-position model. The record is from RNAcentral.